This 253-nucleotide ribosomal RNA is filed under the name uncultured bacterium. RNAcentral's name for it is "partial 16S ribosomal RNA". It matches the Rfam family "Bacterial small subunit ribosomal RNA", at positions 524 to 776 of the family's 1533-position model. The record is from RNAcentral.
UACGUAGGGGGCUAGCGUUGUCCGGAAUCAUUGGGCGUAAAGAGCGUGUAGGCGGCCCGGUAAGUCCGCUGUGAAAGUCGGGGGCUCAACCCUCGGAUGCCGGUGGAUACUGUCGGACUAGAGUGCGGAAGAGGCGAGUGGAAUUCCUGGUGUAGCGGUGAAAUGCGCAGAUAUCAGGAGGAACACCGAUUGCGAAGGCAGCUCGCUGGGACGUUACUGACGCUGAGGCGCGAAAGCGUGGGGAGCAAACAGG